CAAUGUGAUUUUGGCCUAGUAGUUGGGGCAACUUGGCCACUAGUCAGAGUCAACACACAGCCAUUGAUCGGUGCAGCGUUACAAACUUUAGUGUUUAGUAAUAUCAAUGGUAUAUUGGUAGCAAUAUUGGUAUACCUCCUUUAGCCUAGGAUGCAAGUCCCAUUGACUUGGGCUUAUCUUCCAAUUGAGAUGACUAUAGUGUUGGGGCAACUUGACACUAUGGGUUGAGCCAUAGAGGGUGAAAGUCCCUUAACGUCCAGGUAUUGAUAUUACGAACUAGAGAGCCAGCAAUGGCAUUUUGUUAGAGUCGGGUUGCUUGAGAGUGCAACCUAAAGAGCGAGGUAAACUGCUCGUAAGGCUAUUAGGAGUAAUAUCGCUAUGACACCGAUAGCAAACAAGUACCGUGAGGGAAAGUUGCAAAGUACUUUGAAGAGAGAGUUAAACAGGGCGUGAAACCGCUAGCUGGUAAACGAGUAGAGCCACGAAGUCGUUUCGUAGAAUAAGAGAUACAGAUUCAGUUAAGGUUGGCGCAAGUUGGCUUUGGUGCAUUUCUGUUCAUCUCUCUAUGUAUAUGCGUACACUGCAACCAAUUAGACGAUCAAUUGUGGAAAUAGCUAGCCUACAUUGGGAGAAAUCUUAGUGUUAGUUAGCGGAAAUGCUUAUAUACUGCCUUCCGUAGGUUGUUCGAUUUGAUCCUCGUGGUCAUCUUGAGCGUAUGAUGGGGUGGUAUGAGAGCUACGAUUGAAUACUGAUUGGCACAAUGAAAAUCCAUUCGCAAGAAUGGUCCCAGAUAACACUACCUGUGUCGUAUGUGUGUACAAGUGUUUAUUAUUAGCGUAAGCUUGGUAGUUUUAAAUUUAGACUGGUGGGCUAUCUUUGGUUUCGGCCCUUGAUGCCUAUUCAGCUUUCUAUCUAAUUGGCUAUCAACUUUGCUAGUAAUCUUGUGCUUGCCAAUGGUAGCAUGCAUGCGACAAUGGGCAAGUAAUCU
Molecule: ribosomal RNA, 988 nt
Filed under: Trisetacus piceae
Lineage: Eukaryota; Metazoa; Arthropoda; Arachnida; Trombidiformes; Phytoptidae
Description: partial large subunit ribosomal RNA
Rfam family: Eukaryotic large subunit ribosomal RNA (bases 112-988)
Source: RNAcentral